This 610-nucleotide ribosomal RNA is filed under the name soil fungal sp. DM2-412. RNAcentral's name for it is "eukaryotic LSU rRNA". It matches the Rfam family "Eukaryotic large subunit ribosomal RNA", at positions 142 to 781 of the family's 3401-position model. The record is from RNAcentral. Lineage: Eukaryota; Fungi.
GUUGUAAUCUGUAGAGGAUGUUUCUGGCAAGGCGCCGUCCGAGUUCCCUGGAACGGGACGCCGGAGAGGGUGAGAGCCCCGUACAGGCGGACGCCGAGCCUCUGUGAAACUCCUUCGACGAGUCGAGUAGUUUGGGAAUGCUGCUCAAAGCGGGAGGUAAAUUUCUUCUAAAGCUAAAUAUAGGCCAGAGACCGAUAGCGCACAAGUAGAGUGAUCGAAAGAUGAAAAGCACUUUGAAAAGAGGGUUAAAAAGCACGUGAAAUUGUUGAAAGGGAAGCGCCUGUGACCAGACUCGCGCCCGGCGUAUCAUCCGGCGUUCUCGCCGGUGCACUACGCCGGGCUCGGGCCAGCAUCGGUUCUGGUGGGGGGAUAAAGGCGGCGGGGAUGUGGCUCCCCCGGGAGUGUUAUAGCCCGCCGCUCAAUGCCCUCGCCGGGACCGAGGACCGCGCAUUGCAAGGAUGCUGGCGUAAUGGUCACCAGCGACCCGUCUUGAAACACGGACCAAGGAGUCAAGCAUUAGGGCGAGUGUUUGGGUGUAAAACCCGCACGCGAAAUGAAAGUGAACGUAGGUGGGAGCCUCGGCGCACCAUCGACCGAUCCUGAUGUCUUC